ACGGCCAUACCAUGCUGAAAACACCGGUUCUCGUGCGAUCACCGAAGUUAAGCAUAGUUGGGCGCGGUCAGUAUUUGAGAGGUUGACCACCUGGGAACACCGAGAGC
Trichonephila inaurata madagascariensis is the source of this 107-nucleotide non-coding RNA. NCBI's taxonomy places the organism in Eukaryota, Metazoa, Arthropoda, Arachnida, Araneae, Nephilidae. The record is from the annotation of a GenBank genome assembly.